GGGGAAUAUUGGACAAUGGGCGAAAGCCUGAUCCAGCAAUGCCGCGUGAGUGAAGAAGGCCUUAGGGUUGUAAAGCUCUUUUACCCGGGAAGAUAAUGACUGUACCGGGAGAAUAAGCCCCGGCUAACUCCGUGCCAGCAGCCGCGGUAAUACGGAGGGGGCUAGCGUUGUUCGGAAUUACUGGGCGUAAAGCGUACGUAGGCGGUUUUUCAAGUCAGAGGUGAAAGCCCGGGGCUCAACUCCGGAAUUGCCUUUGAAACUGGGAGACUUGAACACGGGAGAGGUGAGUGGAAUUCCGAGUGUAGAGGUGAAAUUCGUAGAUAUUCGGAGGAACACCAGUGGCGAAGGCGGCUCACUGGACCGUAGUUGACGCUGAGGUACGAAAGCGUGGGGAGCAAAC
RNAcentral lists this ribosomal RNA (400 nucleotides) under uncultured bacterium. Its description in RNAcentral is "bacterial SSU rRNA". It matches the Rfam family "Bacterial small subunit ribosomal RNA", at positions 356 to 773 of the family's 1533-position model. The record is from RNAcentral.